UACGUAGGGGGCUAGCCUUGUCCGGAAUCAUUGGGCGUAAAGCGCGCGUAGGCGGCCCAGUAAGUCCGUUGUAAAAGUCAAAGGCUCAACCUUUGAAAGCCGAUGGAUACUGCUGGGCUAGAGUCCGGAAGAGGCGAGUGGAAUUCCUGGUGUAGCGGUGAAAUGCGCAGAUAUCAGGAAGAACACCCGUGGCGAAGGCGGCUUUCUGGGACGGUACUGACGCUGAGACGCGAAAGCGUGGGGAGCGAACAGG
This 253-nucleotide ribosomal RNA is filed under the name uncultured bacterium. RNAcentral's name for it is "partial 16S ribosomal RNA". It matches the Rfam family "Bacterial small subunit ribosomal RNA", at positions 524 to 776 of the family's 1533-position model. The record is from RNAcentral.